This 669-nucleotide ribosomal RNA is filed under the name uncultured bacterium. Its description in RNAcentral is "bacterial SSU rRNA". It matches the Rfam family "Bacterial small subunit ribosomal RNA", at positions 125 to 827 of the family's 1533-position model. The record is from RNAcentral.
UCUACCUCUAGGUGGAACAUAGCCAUCCGAAAGGAUGGGUAAUUUUCCAUGGUUCUCGUAAGAGUAAAGGACUUAACGGUCCGCCAAGAGAUGAGCCUGCGUCCUAUCAGCUUGUUGGUGGGGUAAAAGCCUACCAAGGCAAUGACGGGUAGCUGGACUGAGAGGUCGAUCAGCCACAACUGCACUGAAACACGGGCAGUACAUCUACGGAUGGCAGCAACUAGGAAUAGUUCGCAAUGGACGAAAGUCUGACGACGCGACGCCGCGUGAAGGAUGAAGGCCUAUGGGUCGUAAACUUCUUUUGAUAAGCCGUUCACAGCUUAUAGAAUAAGCCUCUACUAACUACGUGCCAGAAGUCUCGGUAAUACGUAGGAGGCAAGCAUUAUCCGGAUUCAUUGGGCGUAAAGUGUGCGUAGGCGGUUUGGUAAGUCUAUUUUUAAAUUCCGAAGCUCAACUUCGGGCCUGGAAUAGAUACUACUAAACUUGAGGAUUGUUAGGGGUGCUAGAACAGUUAGUGUAGCAGUGAAAUGCGUUGAUAUUAACUGGAAUACCAAAGGCGAAGGCAGGCACCUGGAAUUUUCCUGACGCUGAGGCACGACAGCUAGGGUAGCGAAACAGAUUAGAGACCUGUGUAGUCCUAGCCGUAAACGAUGUCCGCUAGCUGUCUCU